Molecule: ribosomal RNA, 484 nt
Filed under: uncultured bacterium
Lineage: Bacteria
Description: partial 16S ribosomal RNA
Rfam family: Bacterial small subunit ribosomal RNA
Source: RNAcentral
AUUGGACGCUGGCGGCAGGCCUAACACAUGCAAGUCGAGCGGAUGAAGGGAGCUUGCUCCUGGAUUCAGCGGCGGACGGGUGAGUAAUGCCUAGGAAUCUGCCUGGUAGUGGGGGAUAACGUCCGGAAACGGGCGCUAAUACCGCAUACGUCCUGAGGGAGAAAGUGGGGGAUCUUCGGACCUCACGCUAUCAGAUGAACCUAGGUCGGAUUAGCUAGUUGGUGGGGUAAAGGCCUACCAAGGCGACGAUCCGUAACUGGUCUGAGAGGAUGAUCAGUCACACUGGAACUGAGACACGGUCCAGACUCCUACGGGAGGCAGCAGUGGGGAAUAUUGGACAAUGGGCGAAAGCCUGAUCCAGCCAUGCCGCGUGUGUGAAGAAGGUCUUCGGAUUGUAAAGCACUUUAAGUUGGGAGGAAGGGCAGUAAGUUAAUACCUUGCUGUUUUGACGUUACCAACAGAAUAAGCACCGGCUAACUUCGUG